UACGGAGGGUGCAAGCGUUGUCCGGAAUCAUUGGGCGUAAAGAGUUCGUAGGUGGCAUACUAAGUCUGGUGUUAAAGGCAGAAGCUCAACUUCUGUAAGGCACUGGAUACUGGUGAGCUUGAAUGUGGUAGAGGUAAAGGGAAUUCCUGGUGUAGCGGUGAAAUGCGUAGAUAUCAGGAGGAACAUCGGUGGCGAAAGCGCUUUACUGGGCCAUAAUUGACACUGAGGAACGAAAGCCGGGGUAGCAAAUGGG
This 253-nucleotide ribosomal RNA is filed under the name uncultured bacterium. RNAcentral describes it as "partial 16S ribosomal RNA". It matches the Rfam family "Bacterial small subunit ribosomal RNA", at positions 524 to 776 of the family's 1533-position model. The record is from RNAcentral.